Molecule: non-coding RNA, 1489 nt
Organism: Monodelphis domestica (gray short-tailed opossum)
Lineage: Eukaryota; Metazoa; Chordata; Mammalia; Didelphimorphia; Didelphidae
Source: RefSeq, a predicted model, not a curated record
AAUAUGAAGCAUCUCAUUCAAAAACAGAAGAUUUAGAAAAUCGUUCCAGGAGAGACAACUUAAGAAUCAUUGGUCUACCAGAAGACCAUGACAAAAGAAAAAGACUGGACACAAUACUACAGGAAAUUAUUCAAGAAAACUGCCCUGAUAUUCUAGAAUAAGAGGGAAAAGUGGAGAUUGGAAGAAUCCACAGAUCACCUCCUGUACUUAAUCCCCAACUGACAACACCCAGGAAUGCUAUAAUAGCAAAAUUCAAGAACUAUCAGCCCAAGGAAAAAAUAUCACAAGCUGCUAAGAAGAAGUCAUUCAGAUAUCAUGGAACCACAGUGAGGAUAACACAGGAUCUGGCUGCAUCUACACUGAAGGAUCGAAAGGCAUGGAAUAUGAUAUUCUGGAAAGCAAGGGAACUAGGACUACAACCAAGAAUCAACUACCCAGCAAAACUGACUAUAUUCUUACAGGGGAAAGUAUGGUCAUCAACCAAAUAGAAGAAUUCCAAGAAUUUUCAAAGAAAAGGCCAGACCUGAACAGAAAAUCUGAUGCCAAAGCACUCAAGAGAAUCAUCAAAAGCUGCACUCCUUCCUGAAGAAAACUCAAUUUAACAACAAUGCUGGUGACCAGGUGUUUGUGGAUGAGAGAAGAAGAUCUGAGGCUCAAAAUGCCAUUAUGAACUAUGUUCUUUCCGAAUGAGACUGAUGCUCUGGUAAAAGUAGGGCAGUUUGUCCCUAAAGCUCAAGUUGGUCAAGAUUUCACAAUCUGUGAGGAUGCCAUAGUGUGGGACUGGUGGGACUCAAAGGAGGAUCACAUAACAUUUGGGAAUAAAGAUGCAGCCCAGUAACCCAGCACUAGAGGCCAAGAUGGAGAAGAUCUCCACAGCCACCAUGGCUUUCCCUUUGGUGCUCUGAUAUGUGGGCAGAAAAGUGACCCAGACACUACAAAACACCAGCAUGCUGAAGGUGAUGAACUUGGCUUCAUUGAAGGUGUCAGGAAGGUUUCUGGCCAGGAAAGCUACAGUAAAGGUUGCCAAGGCUAGAAAUCCCAUGUAACCCAGGACACAAUAAAAGACAAAGACAGAGCCCUCAUUACAUCUAAUGAUUAUAUGAGCAUAUUCAGAGUGUGUGUCUGCCUCUGGAAAGGGGGGAGAGGUGCCUAGCCAGAUGCCACAGAAAAUCACUUGCAACCCUGAGCAGAUGAGGACAACAUAAACAGACACUCUAGGAUGUAUGAAGAUGCGUAUCCUGCUCCCUGGCCUGAUACCCCUGAAAGCCACAACCACUAUGAUAGUUUUGGCCAAAAUGGAGGAAACAGCCACUGUGAAGACAACUGCAAAUACUGUUUGUUGUAGGAGGCAGGUGGCAGUGGUAGGACGACCUAUGAAGAGCAGGGAGCAGAGGAAACAGAAGGUAAGAGAGAUGAGGAGAGUAUAGCUGAGAGUUCUGUUAUUGGCUUUGACUAUGGGGGUGUCCUGGAACUUCACAAAGACCCCCAG